GCGGGUGUAGCUCAGUGGUAGAGCACAACCUUGCCAAGGUUGGGGUCGUGGGUUCGAAUCCCAUCACCCGCUCCA
Molecule: transfer RNA, 75 nt
Filed under: Halorhodospira halochloris
Lineage: Bacteria; Pseudomonadati; Pseudomonadota; Gammaproteobacteria; Chromatiales; Ectothiorhodospiraceae
Also listed under: 14 other names
Description: tRNA-Gly
Rfam family: tRNA
About the family: Transfer RNA (tRNA) molecules are approximately 80 nucleotides in length. Their secondary structure includes four short double-helical elements and three loops (D, anti-codon, and T loops). Further hydrogen bonds mediate the characteristic L-shaped molecular structure. tRNAs have two regions of fundamental functional importance: the anti-codon, which is responsible for specific mRNA codon recognition, and the 3' end, to which the tRNAs corresponding amino acid is attached (by aminoacyl-tRNA synthetases). tRNAs cope with the degeneracy of the genetic code in two manners: having more than one tRNA (with a specific anti-codon) for a particular amino acid; and 'wobble' base-pairing, i.e. permitting non-standard base-pairing at the 3rd anti-codon position.
Source: RNAcentral